RNAcentral lists this ribosomal RNA (395 nucleotides) under uncultured bacterium. RNAcentral's name for it is "bacterial SSU rRNA". It matches the Rfam family "Bacterial small subunit ribosomal RNA", at positions 505 to 898 of the family's 1533-position model. The record is from RNAcentral.
GUGUCAGCAGCCGCGGUAAUACGGAGGUUGCGAGCGUUGUUCGGAAUGACUGGGCGUAAAGGGAGCGCAGGCGGCUCGUUAGGUCCGGAGUGAAAGCCCGGGGCUCAACCCCGGCGGGUCUUCGGAUACCGGCGAGCUCGAGUACGGAAGAGGAGGGUGGAAUUCCAGGUGUAGCGGUGAAAUGCGUAGAUAUCUGGAGGAACACCGGUGGCGAAAGCGGCCCUCUGGUCCGAUACUGACGCUGAGGCUCGAAAGCGUGGGGAGCAAACGGGAUUAGAUACCCCGGUAGUCCACGCCGUAAACGUUGUGCGCUAGGUGUGGGAGGUAUCGACCCCUCCCGUGCCGCAGCUAACGCAAUAAGCGCACCGCCUGGGGAGUACGGGCGCAAGCCUGAA